CGCGAGUUUUAACGCAGCCCAUUAUUUUUCACUCAUAUAAAAAUAAAAAAUCCGUCCUUUUCUCUUUCCUUUUCAUUUUCUUCUCUUUCUUCUCCUCUCCCCGGAAACUCCGCCGUAGAGAGAAAACUCUCUUGAGCUUAGAUCUAUCUGGUGAAUGACUAAAACACUCGCAGUAUCGGUCAUGGCACAAGAGCAUAAUUUCCAAAUUUUCAACGGCGGUAUUCGAGUCUCAGAUCAAGUUUUCGACUUUGGGUCGUAGCAAUUUUUAGUUGUGGGUGAGAUCAACUAAGGGAAUCAAGUGCGUAGAGUCCUGCUGGGAUUCACAUACGUAAGGAGCGCAACUGUACUUUGAUCAGUGUGAGAUUGGUUAGGGUUCAACUACAUUCCAGUCCUAAGUUAACUUGAGGAGUAGGCUAGUGUCUGUAGCGGCUUAAUACAGUGUGGUGUUCAAAUCUGGACUAGGUCCCGGGAGUUUUCUGCAUUUGCGGUUUCCUCGUUAACAAAACUUCUGGUGUCUGUGUUAUUUCUUUUCCGCAUUAUAUUUGUUUAUAUAAUUGAAAUAUCACAGGUUGUGCGCAAGUUCAAUCAACUAUGAAUCCAACUUUUGUUUGUUGAUUAAAUUGAUUGACACUUGGAUAUUGGUUUUUGAUACCGUCUAAGUUAUUUCUUAUAUUCAAUCGGUCUUGCAAAUUCCUAUUU
This is a long non-coding RNA of Papaver somniferum (opium poppy), 699 nucleotides long. RefSeq lists it as uncharacterized. The record is from RefSeq and is a predicted model, not a curated record. Lineage: Eukaryota; Viridiplantae; Streptophyta; Magnoliopsida; Ranunculales; Papaveraceae. The transcript has 2 exons.